RNAcentral lists this ribosomal RNA (303 nucleotides) under uncultured bacterium. RNAcentral describes it as "partial 16S ribosomal RNA". It matches the Rfam family "Bacterial small subunit ribosomal RNA", at positions 507 to 808 of the family's 1533-position model. The record is from RNAcentral.
AGCAGUCGCCGCGGUAAUACGAAGGGGGCUAGCGUUGUUCGGAUUUACUGGGCGUAAAGGGCGCGUAGGCGGACUGAUAAGUCAGGGGUGAAAUCCUAAGGCUCAACCUUGAACUGCCUUUGAUACUGUUUGUCUUGAGUUCGAGAGAGGUAAGUGGAACUGCGAGUGUAGAGGUGAAAUUCGUAGAUAUUCGCAAGAACACCAGUGGCGAAGGCGGCUUACUGGCUCGAAACUGACGCUGAGGCGCGAAAGCGUGGGGAGCAAACAGGAUUAGAUACCCCUGUAGUCCCUGUCUCUUAUACA